GUGAGGAAUUUUCCGCAAUGGGCGAAAGCCUGACGGAGCAAUGCCGCGUGAAGGAUGAAGGCCUAUGGGUUGUAAACUUCUUUUCUUAGAGAAGAAUAUUGACGGUAUCUGAGGAAUAAGCAUCGGCUAACUUCGUGCCAGCAGCCGCGGUAAUACGAAGGUCCCAAGCGUUGUUCGGAAUCACUGGGCGUAAAGGGUGCGUAGGCGGCGUGGUAAGUCAGAUGUGAAAUCCCGGGGCUCAACCUCGGAACUGCAUCCGAUACUGCCAUGCUUGAGGGCUGGAGAGGUAACUGGAAUUCUCGGUGUAGCAGUGAAAUGCGUGGAUAUCGAGAGGAACACUCGUGGCGAAGGCGAGUUACUGGACAGCAUCUGACGCUGAGGCACGAAGGCCAGGGGAGCGAAAGGGAUUAGAAACCCCAGUAGUCC
Molecule: ribosomal RNA, 426 nt
Filed under: uncultured bacterium
Lineage: Bacteria
Description: partial 16S ribosomal RNA
Rfam family: Bacterial small subunit ribosomal RNA
Source: RNAcentral